This 233-nucleotide ribosomal RNA is filed under the name uncultured bacterium. RNAcentral describes it as "partial 16S ribosomal RNA". It matches the Rfam family "Bacterial small subunit ribosomal RNA", at positions 100 to 334 of the family's 1533-position model. The record is from RNAcentral.
CGGGACGGGUGAGUAAUGUCUGGGAAACUGCCCGAUGGAGGGGGAUAACUACUGGAAACGGUAGCUAAUACCGCAUAAUGUCUGCGGACCAAAGCGGGGGACCUCCGGGCCUCGCGCCAUCAGAUGAACCCAUAUGGGAUUAGCUAGUAGGUGGGGUAACGGCUCACCUAGGCAACGAUCCCUAGCUGGUCUGAGAGGAUGACCAGCCACACUGGAACUGAGACACGGUCCAG